GAUGAAGAACGUAGCGAAAUGCGAUAAGUAGUGUGAAUUGCAUAAUUUUGUGAAUCAUCGAAUCUUUGAACGCAAAUUGCACUCUCUGGUAUUCCGGGGAGUAUGCCUGUUUGAGGGUUGUUAGAAUAAAAAUCGAAGCAUCGCUCCUUUGUAUUUUGGGGUGAUCGCGUCGGAAUUGAGCCGUCUUUCAUAUGUUAAUUCAUGUCAAAGUGGCUUAAAAUUUUCCAUCAUACCUGGUACGAUUAAAGCGUAUUUAAGAUCAAUUUUUGAUUAAGAACGCGCGAUGACGUACCAUCUCAUGUAGUACGUUCGACCUGCGUUGUAGGUUCAUUCGUAUACGAUACUCAACUUUUGACCUCAAAUCAGGUAAGAAUACCCGCUGAACUUAAGCAUAUCAAUAAGCGGAGGA
RNAcentral lists this unclassified non-coding RNA (409 nucleotides) under soil metagenome. RNAcentral's name for it is "partial contains 5.8S ribosomal RNA, internal transcribed spacer 2, and large subunit ribosomal RNA". The stretch from base 1 to 120 matches the Rfam family "5.8S ribosomal RNA", at positions 35 to 154 of the family's 154-position model. The record is from RNAcentral.